RNAcentral lists this ribosomal RNA (484 nucleotides) under uncultured bacterium. RNAcentral's name for it is "bacterial SSU rRNA". It matches the Rfam family "Bacterial small subunit ribosomal RNA", at positions 29 to 507 of the family's 1533-position model. The record is from RNAcentral.
AUGAACGCUAGCGGCAGGCUUAACACAUGCAAGUCGAGGGGCGAACACGGGUAGCAAUACCUGGUGGCGACCGGCGCAAGGGUGCGUAACGCGUGAGCAACAUGCCCUAUACAGGGGGAUAAUCCAGGGAAACUUGGUCUAAUAUCCCAUAGUAUUUAGAGGUGGCAUCACCACUAAAUUAAAGCUUCGGUGGUAUAGGAUUGGCUCGCGUGACAUUAGCUGGAUGGUGGGGUAACGGCUCACCAUGGCGAUGAUGUCUAGGGGUUCUGAGAGGAAGACCCCCCACACUGGGACUGAGACACGGCCCAGACUCCUACGGGAGGCAGCAGUGAGGAAUAUUGGACAAUGGAUGGAAAUCUGAUCCAGCCAUGCCGCGUGCAGGAAGACGGCCCUAUGGGUUGUAAACUGCUUUUAUAUGGGAGCAAUAAGGUUUACGCGUAGACCGAUGAGAGUACCAUAUGAAUAAGCAUCGGCUAACUCCGUG